This 464-nucleotide ribosomal RNA is filed under the name uncultured bacterium. RNAcentral's name for it is "partial 16S ribosomal RNA". It matches the Rfam family "Bacterial small subunit ribosomal RNA", at positions 28 to 507 of the family's 1533-position model. The record is from RNAcentral.
GACGAACGCUGGCGGCGUGCUUAACACAUGCAAGUCGAACGGAAAGGCCCUGCUUGCAGGGUACUCGAGUGGCGAACGGGUGAGUAACACGUGGGUGAUCUGCCCUGCACUUCGGGAUAAGCCUGGGAAACUGGGUCUAAUACCGGAUAGGAGCCAUUUUUAGUGUGAUGGUUGGAAAGUUUUUUCGGUGUAGGAUGAGCUCGCGGCCUAUCAGCUUGUUGGUGGGGUAAUGGCCUACCAAGGCGGCGACGGGUAGCCGGCCUGAGAGGGUGGACGGCCACAUUGGGGCGGAGAGCGGGCCAAGACUCGUAGGGGGGGCGGGGGGGGGGAAUGUGGCAAAGGGGGCCCAGGCCGGUUGCGGCGACGCCGGGGGGGGGAUGCCGGCUUUGGGGUGUUAAACUCUUUCCGCUAGGGACGAAGCUUUUGGGACGGUACCUAAAAAAGAAGCCCCGGCUAACUCCGUC